GGUAUCCUGACCGUGCUAAGGUAGCAUAAUCACUUGCCUUUUAAUUGAAGGCUGGAAUGAAUGGAUCUACGUAAAUAAAACUGUCUCUAUUAUACCGAUAAAAACUAGACUCUAAGUGAAAAUACUUAUAUUAAAAUAAAGGACAAAAAGACCCUAUAGAGCUGCAUUCAUAAAAUCAAAUAAAGAACUAAAAACUUAAUACACUUCCGCAUGAAUUUUGUUGGGGCGACAUAGGAAUAUAUAAAUCUUCCUUAUAUAAAAAGAAAACAAUUCUUUCAAAAGAUCCUAUAAAGAUCAAAGAAAAAAGCUACCUUAGGGAUAACAGACUAAUCUCCUUAGAGAGUCCAAAUUGACAAGGAGGAUUGGCACCUCGAUGUUGGGCUUAGGAA
This 389-nucleotide ribosomal RNA is filed under the name Glycera sp. MB2. Its description in RNAcentral is "partial 16S ribosomal RNA". It matches the Rfam family "Bacterial large subunit ribosomal RNA", at positions 1935 to 2544 of the family's 2925-position model. Lineage: Eukaryota; Metazoa; Annelida; Polychaeta; Phyllodocida; Glyceridae. The record is from RNAcentral.